AUGAACGCUAGCGACAGGCUAACACAUGCAAGUCGAGGGGUAACAGGGUAGCAAUACCGCUGACGACCGGCGCACGGGUGAGUAACGCGUAUGCAACCUGCCUAUAACUGGGGAAUAGCUCCCUGAAAGGGGAAUUAACACCGCAUAACACUAUUGAUUCGCAUGGAUUGGUAGUUAAAUGUAGCGAUAUAGGUUAUAGAUGGGCAUGCGUGACAUUAGCUAGUUGGUGAGGUAACGGCUCACCAAGGCUACGAUGUCUAGGGGUUCUGAGAGGAAGGUCCCCCACACUGGUACUGAGACACGGACCAGACUCCUACGGGAGGCAGCAGUGAGGAAUAUUGGUCAAUGGGCGCAAGCCUGAACCAGCCAUGUCGCGUGCAGGAAGACUGCCCUAUGGGUUGUAAACUGCUUUUAUAGUAGAAGAAACACAUCUACGCGUAGAUGUCUGCCAGUAUACUAUGAAUAAGCAUCGGCUAACUCCGUGCCAGCAGCCGC
Molecule: ribosomal RNA, 495 nt
Filed under: uncultured bacterium
Lineage: Bacteria
Description: bacterial SSU rRNA
Rfam family: Bacterial small subunit ribosomal RNA
Source: RNAcentral